UAGGGAAUCUUCGGCAAUGGACGGAAGUCUGACCGAGCAACGCCGCGUGAGUGAAGAAGGUCUUCGGAUCGUAAAGCUCUGUUGUUAGAGAAGAACGUUGGCAGGAGUGGAAAAUCUACCAAGUGACGGUAACUAACCAGAAAGGGACGGCUAACUACGUGCCAGCAGCCGCGGUAAUACGUAGGUCCCGAGCGUUGUCCGGAUUUAUUGGGCGUAAAGCGAGCGCAGGCGGUUCUUUAAGUCUGAAGUUAAAGGCAGUGGCUUAAGCAAUGUACGCUUUGGAAACUGGAGGACUUGAGUGUAGAAGGGGAGGGUGGAAUUCCAUGUGUAGCGGUGAAAUGCGUAGAUAUAUGGAGGAACGCAGUUGGAGAAAGCGGCGCUCUGGUCUGUUACUGACGCUGAGGCUCGAAAGCGUGGGGAGCAAACAGG
This 429-nucleotide ribosomal RNA is filed under the name Bacillota bacterium. Its description in RNAcentral is "Firmicutes bacterium partial 16S ribosomal RNA". It matches the Rfam family "Bacterial small subunit ribosomal RNA", at positions 355 to 776 of the family's 1533-position model. The record is from RNAcentral. Lineage: Bacteria; Bacillati; Bacillota.